RNAcentral lists this transfer RNA (87 nucleotides) under Gammaproteobacteria bacterium. Its description in RNAcentral is "tRNA-Leu". It matches the Rfam family "tRNA". Rfam says of the family: Transfer RNA (tRNA) molecules are approximately 80 nucleotides in length. Their secondary structure includes four short double-helical elements and three loops (D, anti-codon, and T loops). Lineage: Bacteria; Pseudomonadati; Pseudomonadota; Gammaproteobacteria. The record is from RNAcentral.
GCCGAAGUGGUGGAAUUGGUAGACACGCCACCUUGAGGGGGUGGUGAGCUUUAGCUCGUGGAGGUUCGAGUCCUCUCUUCGGCACCA